GAUGAACGCUGGCGGCGUGCCUAAUACAUGCAAGUCGAGCGAACAGACGAGGAGCUUGCUCCUCUGACGUUAGCGGCGGACGGGUGAGUAACACGUGGAUAACCUACCUAUAAGACUGGGAUAACUUCGGGAAACCGGAGCUAAUACCGGAUAACAUGUUGAACCGCAUGGUUCAACAGUGAAAGACGGUUUUGCUGUCACUUAUAGAUGGAUCCGCGCCGCAUUAGCUAGUUGGUAAGGUAACGGCUUACCAAGGCAACGAUGCGUAGCCGACCUGAGAGGGUGAUCGGCCACACUGGAACUGAGACACGGUCCAGACUCCUACGGGAGGCAGCAGUAGGGAAUCUUCCGCAAAGGGCGAAAGCCUGACGGAGCAACGCCGCGUGAGUGAAGAAGGUCUUCGGAUCGUAAAACUCUGUUAUUAGGGAAGAACAAAUGUGUAAGUAACCAUGCACGUCUUGACGGUACCUAAUCAGAAAGCCACGGCUAACUACGUG
RNAcentral lists this ribosomal RNA (497 nucleotides) under uncultured bacterium. RNAcentral's name for it is "partial 16S ribosomal RNA". It matches the Rfam family "Bacterial small subunit ribosomal RNA", at positions 28 to 507 of the family's 1533-position model. The record is from RNAcentral.